This 899-nucleotide long non-coding RNA is filed under the name Homo sapiens (human). RNAcentral describes it as "HSALNT0211282". The record is from RNAcentral. Lineage: Eukaryota; Metazoa; Chordata; Mammalia; Primates; Hominidae.
CUUGCUCUGCCACUCAGGCUGGAGUACAGUGGCAGGAUCUUGGCUCACUGCAGCCUUAACCUCCCAGGUUCUAGUGAGCCUAUUACCUCAGCCUCCCGAGUAGCUGGGACCACAGGUGUGUGGCACCACACCUAAUUUUUUGUAGAGACAGGGUUUUGCCAUGUUGCCCAGCCUGGUCUCGAAUUUCUGGGCUCAAAGAAUCCACCCUCCUUGGCUUCCUGAAGUACUGGGAUUUCAGAUAUGAGUCACCACGCCUGGCCAACCAGUGAGUCUCGUCAGUCCUUCUGGUGCAUUGCUGAAUUAAACGCAAAGAAAAAAGAAACAGCCAAAUUUUCUGAAAGUCCUUCUAAAUUGUUAGGAAGCAAACAAACCUGCCAAUUUUAUUGAUUAUAAAAAGUUGCAUUGUGGAGUACGGAUUAAGUUUUAUGGAAAUCCCAUAUUAAGACUUAAAAAAAGGCCAGGCGCGGUGGCUCACACCUGUAAUCCCAGCACUUUGGGAAGCCAAGGCGGGUGGAUCACGAGGUCAGGAGAUCGAGACCAUCCUGGCUAACACGGUGAAACCCCGUCUGUACUAAAAAUACAAAAAAUUACCCGGGCAUGGUGGGCGGGCACCUGUAGUCCCAGCUACUUUGGAGGCUGAGGCAGGAGAAUGGCGUGAACCCAGUGCGUCCAGAAUUGGUUCCUUCCCAUGGGUUCUCGGUCUCGCUGACUUCAAGAAUGAAGCCACAGACCCUCGUGGUGAGUGUUACAGUUCUUAAAGAUGGUGUGUCCGGAGUUUGUUCCUUCAGAUGUUCAGAUGUGUCUGGAAUUUCUUCUUUCUGGUGGGUUUGUGGUCUUGCUGACUUCAGGAGUGAAGCCGCAGACCUUUGCAGACCUUCACAGUGAGUGUUAACAGCUCA